Long non-coding RNA from Leopardus geoffroyi (Geoffroy's cat), 1173 nucleotides. RefSeq lists it as uncharacterized. The record is from RefSeq and is a predicted model, not a curated record. NCBI's taxonomy places the organism in Eukaryota, Metazoa, Chordata, Mammalia, Carnivora, Felidae. The transcript is spliced from 2 exons.
GGAAACAGAUCAGAAAUUCAUCGUGAAAUAUGUAGUACAUGUCUCCACGGAUGUUGCGACUGGCCAGAAUUCGGAACCGCCCCAGGCCUGCCUCCCGACCGAGCCACCAUCUCAGGUACAAGGGGAGGUGGCGGGCUCCCCGCGCAGAGCACGGGGAGGAGGGGCAGUGGGCGCAGCACCGCUUCAGGCCCCUGUCCCCACCGCGCUCCGAGCCGGCGCGGUCACCGGCCCCACCUCCUGGGCGGGAGUGGGGUGCCCUCCGGGACGCGAAUCCCCCAGCCCCGCGCCUCAGCAGCCGCGGCAGCCAGGCCGGAAGCGCCGGCGCACACGCGGAGGUCGGUCGCGCUCCCAGCUGCGCCAGCUCUCGGUCCUGGCGCUCAGGGCCUCUCCGCGCGGCGCCCUCCCCACGGCCGCUCCUGCGCGCACAGGGCGCCGGCCAGCCCUGAACUUUGGGGAAUGAAAGCGCGGGGAAAGGGGGCCGUGCGGGCGGGGAGACCUGUCCGCACGUCCCGGCCCCAGCCCGGGGAGGGGUCGCCAGCCUCGCGGGGUGGCCGGGGCACCCACCUGCCGAGCGGAAAGUCCCUGGAGAGCUCGAAGCGGCCGCGGGAGCCGGGCCCGCCCUCCGCGGGAGGGACCUCGGCGCCUAGAACGACGAAGACAGGCCGCACUUACUUGUUUGUGCAGCGCCGGCUUCACCUGGUCGCGAGUUUGAUUUCAGGGUGUGGCCUCAGGGUAACACUGAGGCCUGACCUCAUGAGCCAACCCCUGAUCUCCUGUGGCCUGCUCCCUCCAGGAAGCUGCCUGCUGAGCCUAGGUUGAUGGGACCAUGUGGCAGGGCAGGGGCAGCUGGUACACACGUAUGGCUUUCCCCACAGAUUAAGUACCUAGCGAUGUAGGAGCACUGGCUGACUGCUGGCUACUGGAAGCAGGGUGUGCUGGGUGGGAGGGUUCGGGGAAGUGGUUGUGGGGGAUUUGAAAUGAACGGUGAGCCAAGCUAGAAUGAACUGCGCUGCGUUGUUGAACCUAGAAUCAACACCCUAAAAGAUUUUUUCCUGACUCACAAAUGCACGCGUGAAUUAUUUUCUUUUAAUACAAAUAACUUCUAUACCCAAACCAGAGCCCCAAGCAGUUUGAACUGUUGAGCUACAAUAAAGUGUGGGCAUUAGAAUAUUA